This 67-nucleotide transfer RNA is filed under the name Marmota monax (woodchuck). RNAcentral describes it as "tRNA.Asp". The record is from RNAcentral. Lineage: Eukaryota; Metazoa; Chordata; Mammalia; Rodentia; Sciuridae.
GGAUGUGGCUCACUGGUAGAGUACUGGUCUGUCAUGUGUGAGGCCCUGGGUUCCAUCCCCAGCACCA